GUUGUUCGGAAUCACUGGGCUUAAAGGGUGCGUAGGCGGGUGUCCAGUCUGGGGUGAAAUCCCACGGCUCAACCCGUGGAAUUNCCUCAGAUACUGACGACCUCGAGGGAGGUAGGGGCGAGCGGAACUGUGGGUGGAGCGGUGAAAUGCGUUGAUAUCCACAGGAACUCCGGUGGCGAAGGCGGCUCGCUGGACCUCUUCUGACGCUGAGGCACGAAAGCUAGGGGAGCAAACGGGAUUAGAUACCCCGGUAGUCCUAGCCCUAAACGAUGAGGACUAGGUAGUAGGCUAGACAUGGGCUUACUGCCGAAGCAAAAGUGCUAAGUCCUCCGCCUGGGGAGUAUGGCCGCAAGGCUGAAACUCAAAGGAAUUGACGGGGGCUCACACAAGCGGUGGAGCAUGUGGCUUAAUUCGAGGCUACGCGAAGAACCUUAUCCUGGGCUUGACAUGUGCGAAAGCGCCGGGAAGUAGGACCCGGAAACGGGAACGAACGGUACCCAGCCCGGAACCCGGCACAGGUGCUGCAUGGCUGUCGUCAGCUCGUGUCGUGAGAUGUCGGGUUAAGUCCCAUAACGAGCGAAACCCUUACCUUCAGUUGCUACCCGCAAGGGGCACUCUGGAGGGACUGCCGGUGUCAAACCGGAGGAAGGCGGGGACGACGUCAAGUCAGCAUGGCCUUUAUGCCUGGGGCUACACACACGCUACAAUGGGACGGUACAAUGGGUAGCCAAGCCGCGAGGCGGAGCCAAUCCUCAAAACGUCCCUCAGUUCAGAUUGCAGGCUGCAACCCGCCUGCAUGAAGUCGGAGUUGCUAGUAACCGCGCGUCAGCCAUAGUGCGGUGAAUACGUUCCCGGGUCUUGUACACACCGCCCGUCACACUAUGGGAGCUGGCUACACCUGAAGCCGGUAGCCUAACCGCAAGGAGGGCGCCGUCAAAGGUGGGGCUGGUGACUGGAGUGAAGUCGUAACAAGGUAA
Molecule: ribosomal RNA, 977 nt
Filed under: uncultured bacterium
Lineage: Bacteria
Description: bacterial SSU rRNA
Rfam family: Bacterial small subunit ribosomal RNA
Source: RNAcentral